Molecule: ribosomal RNA, 508 nt
Filed under: uncultured bacterium
Lineage: Bacteria
Description: partial 16S ribosomal RNA
Rfam family: Bacterial small subunit ribosomal RNA (bases 19-328)
Source: RNAcentral
ACGAACGCUGGCGGCGUGCUUAACACAUGCAAGUCGAACGGAAAGGCCCUGCUUUUGUGGGGUGCUCGAGUGGCGAACGGGUGAGUAACACGUGAGUAACCUGCCCUUGACUUUGGGAUAACUUCAGGAAACUGGGGCUAAUACCGGUUAGGAGCUCCUGCUGCAUGGUGGGGGUUGGAAAGUUUCGGCGGUUGGGGAUGGACUCGCGGCUUAUCAGCUUGUUGGUGGGGUAGUGGCUUACCAAGGCUUUGACGGGUAGCCGGCCUGAGAGGGUGACCGGGAAGAUGGGGACGGAGAGACGGACAAGGGCGUGGAGGGGGGAAGAGGGGGGAAGGCGGGCACGGGGGGCGGAGGCAGGAGGAGGAAGGGCGGGGGGGGGGAGGAGGGCGGUCGGGGGGUAAGCCGCUGACGCGUGGGAAGAGGGGGGAGUGGCGGAAAGGGGAAAAGAAGCAGGGGCCAAAGACGUGACAGAGGCAGAGGAAAGAACGGGAAGAACACACGUCUGAAC